RNAcentral lists this transfer RNA (73 nucleotides) under Mesocricetus auratus (golden hamster). It matches the Rfam family "tRNA". Rfam says of the family: Transfer RNA (tRNA) molecules are approximately 80 nucleotides in length. Their secondary structure includes four short double-helical elements and three loops (D, anti-codon, and T loops). Lineage: Eukaryota; Metazoa; Chordata; Mammalia; Rodentia; Cricetidae. The record is from Rfam by way of RNAcentral.
GGGGAUGUAGCUCAGUUGGUAGAGCAUGUAUUUCGCAUAUACGAGGUCCCGGGUUCGAGCCCCGGCAUCUCCA